RNAcentral lists this Y RNA (99 nucleotides) under Microcebus murinus (gray mouse lemur). RNAcentral's name for it is "Y RNA (ENSMICG00000045059.1)". It matches the Rfam family "Y RNA". Rfam says of the family: Y RNAs are components of the Ro ribonucleoprotein particle (Ro RNP), in association with Ro60 and La proteins. The record is from Rfam by way of RNAcentral. Lineage: Eukaryota; Metazoa; Chordata; Mammalia; Primates; Cheirogaleidae.
UGUUGAUCUAAGUGUAGUGUUUACAACUAAUUGAUCACAACCAGUUACAGAUUCCUUUGUCACUUCUCCACUCCCACUGCUUCACUUGACCAGCCUAAA